GAGAGGGGAGGACCAGUGAAGAGGGGGAAAACUUCAUUUUAUUUUGGGACUUAAAAUUUUAUUUGGAGUGCUUUCACAGUAAGAAAAAGAGAAGGGAGAAAGAGGAAAAGACUUAGGAAAAUUUCUUUAUUCCUACUCACACUCUUUGCUGUUCGAAUAGAGAGAGAAGAAGAGAGCUGCUGCAUGUUAAAUUUUAGCUCAUUUAGGAGCUGGUUUCUUAAGAGAUUCGCUAAAAAAGUGGCUGAAGGUGGCAGCAGGAAGGGGAAGGAUAUUGCUCAAGGUUAGGCUCGACUGCUGUUCAAUCGAGGAAAUUGAGGUUCGAACCUAAAACGGGGGAAAAACAAGGAAUCGA
Gossypium arboreum is the source of this 352-nucleotide long non-coding RNA. RefSeq lists it as uncharacterized. The transcript has 3 exons. Lineage: Eukaryota; Viridiplantae; Streptophyta; Magnoliopsida; Malvales; Malvaceae. The record is from RefSeq and is a predicted model, not a curated record.